CAUGCCGCGUGUGUGAAGAAGGCCUUCGGGUUGUAAAGCACUUUCAGUCGUGAGGAAGGUGGUGUAGUUAAUAGCUGCAUUAUUUGACGUUAGCGACAGAAGAAGCACCGGCUAACUCCGUGCCAGCAGCCGCGGUAAUACGGAGGGUGCGAGCGUUAAUCGGAAUUACUGGGCGUAAAGCGCAUGCAGGUGGUUUGUUAAGUCAGAUGUGAAAGCCCGGGGCUCAACCUCGGAAUAGCAUUUGAAACUGGCAGACUAGAGUACUGUAGAGGGGGGUAGAAUUUCAGGUGUAGCGGUGAAAUGCGUAGAGAUCUGAAGGAAUACCGGUGGCGAAGGCGGCCCCCUGGACAGAUACUGACACUCAGAUGCGAAAGCGUGGGGAGCAAACAGGAUUAGAUACCCCGGUAG
Molecule: ribosomal RNA, 408 nt
Filed under: Vibrio alginolyticus
Lineage: Bacteria; Pseudomonadati; Pseudomonadota; Gammaproteobacteria; Vibrionales; Vibrionaceae
Description: bacterial SSU rRNA
Rfam family: Bacterial small subunit ribosomal RNA
Source: RNAcentral